UACGGAGGGUGCAAGCGUUGUCCGGAAUCACUGGGCGUAAAGGGCGCGUAGGCGGCUCAUGAAGGCUGUGGUGAAAGUCCGGGGCUCAACCUCGGAUCGGCCGUGGCGACUCGUGGGCUGGAGCACUGUAGAGGCGGGUGGAAUUCCGGGUGUAGCGGUGGAAUGCGUAGAGAUCCGGAAGAACACCGGUGGCGAAGGCGGCCUGCUGGGCAGUUUGCUGACACUGAGGCGCGACAGCGUGGGGAGCAAACAGGG
This 255-nucleotide ribosomal RNA is filed under the name uncultured bacterium. RNAcentral describes it as "partial 16S ribosomal RNA". It matches the Rfam family "Bacterial small subunit ribosomal RNA", at positions 524 to 777 of the family's 1533-position model. The record is from RNAcentral.